This 484-nucleotide ribosomal RNA is filed under the name uncultured bacterium. Its description in RNAcentral is "partial 16S ribosomal RNA". It matches the Rfam family "Bacterial small subunit ribosomal RNA", at positions 30 to 507 of the family's 1533-position model. The record is from RNAcentral.
AUUGAACGCUGGCGGCAGGCCUAACACAUGCAAGUCGAGCGGAUGAAGGGAGCUUGCUCCUGGAUUCAGCGGCGGACGGGUGAGUAAUGCCUAGGAAUCUGCUUGGUAGUGGGGGAUAACGUCCUGAAACGGGCGCUAAUACCGCAUACGUCCUGAUGGAGAAAGUGGGGGAUCGUCGGACCUCACGCUAUCAGAUGAGCCUAGGUCGGAUUAGCUAGUUGGUGGGGUAAAGGCCUACCAAGGCGACGAUCCGUAACUGGUCUGAGAGGAUGAUCAGUCACACUGGAACUGAGACACGGUCCAGACUCCUACGGGAGGCAGCAGUGGGGAAUAUUGGACAAUGGGCGAAAGCCUGAUCCAGCCAUGCCGCGUGUGUGAAGAAGGUCUUCGGAUUGUAAAGCACUUUAAGUUGGGAGGAAGGGCAGUAAGUUAAUACCUUGCUGUUUUGACGUUACCAACAGAAUAAGCACCGGCUAACUUCGUG